Ilex paraguariensis (yerba mate) is the source of this 68-nucleotide non-coding RNA. The record is from the annotation of a GenBank genome assembly. NCBI's taxonomy places the organism in Eukaryota, Viridiplantae, Streptophyta, Magnoliopsida, Aquifoliales, Aquifoliaceae.
GCAUCCAUAGCUGAAUGGUUAAAGCGCUCAACUAGGCAAAUUCGUAGGUUCGAUUCCCACGGGAUGCA